UUUUCUCUAAAACAACAAAAAUUAUAAACUGACUCUACCACACUCUCUCCCUUAUUCUCGUACGCCCUAUUUCUCCAACCUUUUCUCUCACUCGAUUCUCAGCCUCCUUGUACAUAAACAUAACAAAAUCAACUAUGUAAAACCUCUCUCAAGCCUGCCCAUAAAAAAUAGAGAACAUGAAAUCAAGCAAGAAAAUAAGCAAAAUCCCUAAACCCCAAACAAAAUUCCCAAAACCCAAAUUCAAUAUUUGUUAAAAUGUAAACAUACAGUAGCAUUUAUCAAAGGGGGAAAGGGACUCAAACAUGGCACAAUCAUAUAAACAUAAGUAGAGGACACAGACACGAGGUGAUGAAGUACCAAAUCGGUGGAGAAAAGAUUCAAUGAAAUUUGAAAUCUUCUAGGUGUGUGUUUUGCUCUCCUCCCUUCCUUAUGCUUCUUUCCUUCUUUUUCAUUUCUAUUUGUGCUUUGAUUUUUUAUGCAAAUUUUCGAGUUCUGUGGUGGUGAGGGUAUUAGUGUUUUUUUUUUGUAUUUUUGCGUGUGUGUAUGUAUUGUGUUCUUUUUGUUGUCUGUGGCUAGGGUUUUUCUGAUGAUUGUGGUGAUGAGUAGUGUAUUUUUUUAUAGUGGAAAUGAGUAGGGUUUUUUUUGAAAGAUAAGAAUGAAGGUUGUACUAUAUGAUGAGAUGUGAUUUAGGUGUAAUUGGGAGUAGAGCAGAUGGUGGACUGGACAAAUUCUGUUGGUCCUGCUUUAAUAUUUUGUUAUUGUACUAUGUCAUUAUAGCGAUUUUCUUGCUCAUUUUCCUUCCUUUUUCUCAAUUUCGUCUCUUGUUUUUCUACUGGAGUAACUAUUGGUGAAGUUGGAAAUUGCUUGUUGAUUUUUUUGAAUUGAUAUUGUACUAAUUAUUGUGGUAAAAAAAUGAAGAAAGAAAUGAACUCUUGCUUUUUUGAAUUUUAAACUUUUCUCAUUGCAGUUUGGAAUGAUCUUAAUUGAAUCCCUUUGUUUUUGUGUGAUAGGUUUUUGUAUGAAUGGUGAACUCUAAGUCUUGACAAGGAUUAGUUUUGGAAAGAAUGUGGUCACUUGAGGAUAAUCUUAAAAACCUAAUGUAGCCUUGAAGAAAUGGAUCCCAAAUUGUGAUGAAGAAGUGGAUUGAACAUUGGAGAUUAUAGGGUUUUUUAUUUUUGGUAGAAUUUGGUUAGUUUCAUACAAAUGUAAACAAAUGUAUAUGUUUGUAGCAUUAAGUGUAAUUUGUCACAAAUGACAUACUUUCCAUUUUUUAAAACAUAUUUGGUUGAAUCAAUG
This 1296-nucleotide long non-coding RNA is filed under the name Lathyrus oleraceus (garden pea). RNAcentral's name for it is "Pisum sativum (pea) long non-coding RNA (PSAT_LNC019599)". The record is from RNAcentral. Lineage: Eukaryota; Viridiplantae; Streptophyta; Magnoliopsida; Fabales; Fabaceae.